GAUGAAGAACGUAGCGAAAUGCGAUACUUGGUGUGAAUUGCAGAAUCCCGUGAACCAUCGAGUCUUUGAACGCAAGUUGCGCCCGAAGCCACUAGGCCGAGGGCACGCCUGCCUGGGCGUCACACGCCGUUGCCCCCCCAUCUACUCCUUCGGGAUUGCGGGGGGGCGGAUGAUGGCCUCCCGUGCGCCUAGCCGCGCGGUUGGCAUAAAUACCAAGUCCUCGGCGACGCACGCCACGACAAUCGGUGGUUGCGGAACCUCGGUUGCCCGUCGUGUGCGUUCGUCGCGCAUCGAGGGCUCGAAAAAAUGCUCGGCUCCGGCUGGGCUUUCAACGCGACCCCAGGUCAGGCGGGGUUACCCGCUGAAUUUAAGCAUAUCAAUAAGCGGAGGA
This 391-nucleotide unclassified non-coding RNA is filed under the name soil metagenome. RNAcentral describes it as "partial contains 5.8S ribosomal RNA, internal transcribed spacer 2, and large subunit ribosomal RNA". The stretch from base 1 to 122 matches the Rfam family "5.8S ribosomal RNA", at positions 35 to 154 of the family's 154-position model. The record is from RNAcentral.